RNAcentral lists this unclassified non-coding RNA (181 nucleotides) under soil metagenome. RNAcentral's name for it is "partial contains 5.8S ribosomal RNA, internal transcribed spacer 2, and large subunit ribosomal RNA". The record is from RNAcentral.
AACGCACGAGACCUGCGGACCUGCGGAAGGAUCAUUACAAAUCUUUUGCGAGUGUUGCGUGCUUAAGUGUGCGUAGCAUUUACAACAUUAGCACAAGGUCGCAAGACUUUGAUGUUUACGCUUGUUUGUUUGACAGAGUUAGUUGAGACAAUAAGAAAACAACUUUUAACAACGGAUCUCU